GUGGCGACGGCCGUCCAGUAGCUUGUCAUGCAGGCGCUGGCGGGCGUGCCGAUGAUCCGCGCCCACUCCCACCCGCCUCGACCCUCCGCCGCACGCCGCAGCUCCGCCAACUGCACGCCACAAAAACCAAAGCUCCGGUGCCGUUGAUGCAGGACAUGAGAUUGAAAGGCAUGCUUAUUUCCACCCAGGUAUUGCUCUGCUCCUGGUACUCCCAGAACUUAUCUGUCUUCUGCUUAAACUCCACUUCUCCCUUCGGGUUCGGAUGUGGGGUGCACCAUGAAUGGGCAGACAAAGCAGACUCCAUAACGAGAAGACAUGCUACAAAACACAAAAAACACGAGAGAAAUCUGCAAGCUGGACCAGCCAUGGCCAUGCUGUAGAUCUUAUCCUUGGUGCCGAUGCAUGCCAGCGCCAGAGCCUGUCCUCUAUAGCUGCGCCUGUGCGAUCCUCGGAGAAGACGAAGUCUGGAGGCUAGGCAUCAUGAGCCUUUUAUCUAAGCAUAAGCAAGAGGAGGUAUCAUGAGCUUCUCCGGGGAGGACCCCUCUGUACUUGUGUGUGCUGCAGUUGGAAGCACAUAAGGGGAGGAAAAAGAAGGGCGAGGGAAUCUUGAAUAUUUCUAUUGGACAAGUUUUGUGGAAUCUGAUGUUUUCCUAUUCAAUUGGGUGGAAUAAAGCUAGUACGCCUGUGCUGAAAUCGUCCUUGUCCCCUGCUGCCUCUGAAGUCGAUGGUUGCUUAGGAGUUCAGAUGUCCAUCUGCAACUUGCCGACGCUAACCACCACCGGUGACUGCAGGGUCUUGAGAAAGGUGAAAGCAGCUCCACAUUGCUGAUAUCAUACUGCAGAAUUUUUCUUCGCCCUGCUUGUCAUCACUUGCUGAAUGGAAUAUUGGGGCCUGACUGAUUGAUCACCCUGAGAAGGUCUCGCUAAGAUUUUCGUCGCAAAAGAAGAGAAAAAAAGAAGUCGGCUAAACUUCUUAGGUCUGUAGGAGGGUAAGUGCAACGUGUGUUCUGCGUCACUCUUGACUUACUGUAUAAAUUACUCGUUCUGUUCUUUCCAUUAUUGGUGGAAAGGAAAUUCUUAAUUCACUCGCAGUAAUCAGUAGCUAAGUCAAACAUCUUGCCACCUUGUAUUUUGCCUAGUAAUUUGUGCAGUCACGCAAGUGAUCUCCUCUAAACUAAUCUGGAGUAUAAUAUUA
Molecule: long non-coding RNA, 1194 nt
Organism: Aegilops tauschii subsp. strangulata
Lineage: Eukaryota; Viridiplantae; Streptophyta; Magnoliopsida; Poales; Poaceae
Source: RefSeq, a predicted model, not a curated record